UACAGAGGUCUCAAGCGUUGUUCGGAUUCAUUGGGCGUAAAGGGUGCGUAGGCGGCGCGGUAAGUCGGGUGUGAAAUCUCGGAGCUUAACUCCGAAACUGCAUUCGAUACUACCGUGCUUGAGGACUGGAGAGGAGACUGGAAUUUACGGUGUAGCGGUGAAAUGCGUAGAUAUUUGGAGGAACACCGAUGGCGAAGGCAGCCCCCUGGGCUAACACUGACGCUCAUGCACGAAAGCGUGGGGAGCAAACAGG
Molecule: ribosomal RNA, 253 nt
Filed under: uncultured bacterium
Lineage: Bacteria
Description: partial 16S ribosomal RNA
Rfam family: Bacterial small subunit ribosomal RNA
Source: RNAcentral